Molecule: transfer RNA, 65 nt
Filed under: Schistosoma mekongi
Lineage: Eukaryota; Metazoa; Platyhelminthes; Trematoda; Strigeidida; Schistosomatidae
Description: tRNA-Phe
Source: RNAcentral
UUCCUUUUAGCUUAAGUGGUAAAGUAUCAGUUUGAAGGUCUGAAGAUAUGUGUUUUUAGAGGUGG